Molecule: non-coding RNA, 54 nt
Organism: Salmo salar (Atlantic salmon)
Lineage: Eukaryota; Metazoa; Chordata; Actinopteri; Salmoniformes; Salmonidae
Source: Rfam
UGCAUUCACUACUGUAAGUCGCUCUGUAUAAGAGCGUCUUCUAAAUGACAAAAA